Molecule: unclassified non-coding RNA, 3910 nt
Filed under: Hevea brasiliensis (rubber tree)
Lineage: Eukaryota; Viridiplantae; Streptophyta; Magnoliopsida; Malpighiales; Euphorbiaceae
Source: RNAcentral
UGAGGCUCCAAUGCGUGGACACGUGUUUCCGGCUCUCACUUUUACGUCCGCAGUAACGCAGUAAAUCUUCUUUCGGUCUUAACCUAAGCUGGAGCGCUGCUCUUUUCCUCUCCCCUCUUUUAUUCCGUUGUACUUGGAGGCCGACUACUCAGUCAGCUAGCACAUCCUUCCCUUUUCCAGCAAUGGCGGAAGCUGCAACAAUCGAGAUACCUUCGCUAUCUGAAGUAUCGUUUUUUACUUCUUCUUCUCCAACUAUUUGAAAAUAUCUCAGUUUCUCUGGAUCGAAUGAUUUGAUUGCUUACCUAGAUCUGUGCAGCUUCUCUGUUUUCUUUGUUUUUGUUCUGAUUGGAUUGUUUCGGAUCUUCCGUUUUUAGUUCAAUGAAAUUAGUUGUCAUGGUUGCACAAAAUUAUUGGAGAAAGUAGACUUUUUAAGGAUUAAAUCGAGCUAAUGAUUUAUUGAUUUUUCUUUUAAUUUUGGAACUCUCUGUAUUUUUUUUAGGGAACAUUUUAGUUUGUUUGAUUAUGAAUUUAGUUCCUCUACGAUUUUGUUCGAGUAAUUUUGUAAAAGAUUAAUGUUUUUUUUUUCUUUGAAUGAAGAGAAAAAGAGGAAGUAUCUAUCUAGAAUAGAAGGUCUUAAUAGCUGAACUUAUGAUUUUGGUAUCAAAAACAAUUUCGUUUUAUUGAUUAGAAAUAUUGGCAUUAGCUAUUUUUUUUUUGUUUAGUGUAACUGUUUAGGAAUUGGUCAUGCUUCACCAAAUAAGUACCUUAGGCAUGCUAAUACUUGCUUUUCAGUUUACUGAAUGCCGCAUGAUUGCAUACCAAGCCUAGUUAAAGAUUGGCCUGAUUUGAUGUUCACCGACAGUUGACUAAGAAACUUGAAAAUCAAAUGCUUAUGGUACUGAUGGAAUAACAAUAGAGGAAUUGUUUUUGAAAUCACAUAUGAUGCAGCAUCGACUGAACUGCAUCAGUAUGCUUCAGUUGCUUAAUCAAAAUACUAAAUGAUAAAGAUACAAAUAAGACUUGACCAAACAAUGAUGGCUUAGCUUGUCUUUAAUAUUCUGCAAUUCUCAUUCAACUUGACCUUGUUCAUACAAAAUCAAAAUAAGCUUUAAAUACUUUGUAUCCUGAAGAUGUUCUGGUUAAGUUUGCCUUUCAAUUAUGUAAAUAUCCUUUUCCAGUGUUGUUACAAUGGCCGGCCCCUUUUGGACUGUGAUUAGUUUUUGGACCUUUGCCUUUGGGCAAGGUAUGCUCAACAAGUCAACGUUUCUUUCUUUCCUUGCCUGAAAUUAUUAUGCAUGAAUGCUGAUAGAACUUUUUGUCUAAUACUUUGAAAUGUAGCAAUAUUUAUUGAAGGAGAAAGAGGAGAAGGCUGAUGUAGGUUCAAAACUUGUGGAAGUAAACGAAGAAGUGAAACCUGAAACUGCUAUUUCUGAAGAGAAAGCUGAGGAAGCACCAACAGCUGCUGCUGAAGAGAAAGAGGAAGAUGCUGUUGCUGCUGCUGUUGAAGAGAUCACUGAAACUAAUCCUGCUUCUGAAAACAAUGGUGAAGAUGCUCCUGCUGUUGAGACAGAAGGCAGUGAAACUACCGAAGAGCAAAACUCAGAUGAACAAGAAGCUGCUGAUGAGAAACCAGAGAUAAAGCUGGAGACAGCACCAGCUGAUUUCCGUUUCCCAACUACUAAUCAGACAAGGCACUGUUUUACCAGAUACAUUGAGUAUCAUCGGUGUGUAGCUGCCAAGGGGGAAGGUGCUUCAGAGUGCGAAAAAUUUGGCAAAUAUUAUCGUUCUCUUUGCCCCAGUGAAUGGGUAUGUAUUUAGGAGAUUUUGAUAUACUAGUAAGCAUGAUAUUUGUUGUCUUUUCUCAAGUAAGACUUGAAGAAGCUCUUCAUCAUCGUCAUCAUCAUCUUCUCUUUCUUCUUCUUCUUUAUUUUUUAAAAGUUGUUCAGUGUUUUUACAUGCAUGAUAAUAUAUGUUAAGAGCUAUGUUCUUUCUUUUUUUAAAUUAUGGUUGGCUUACUGCUUUCCAACCAGAAAAAUAUUAUUGUUGGUUGAGUUAUGGCUUGGUGGUGGCAAUGUCAGAUCCAAAUAGGAUGUAAGUAGCCCUCAGAUAAAAAAAUGGAAAUGCAUGGCUUAUUAGUCUGAGGUUACAUUCCCUGUUUGUUAGUUUGUGUGAUUGGUGGGUUUUGCUUUCCAAAUGUUUUGCCUGCAGUGGAUUUUGGCAUUUUAUAUUGCUGAUAUGGAAGAUUGGAAAAAAUACAACUUAUGUCUGAAUCUGAAAUAUAUAAAGAAUAUAGAUGCCUUGGGACUAAUAGUUCCUGACUGCUGAUGAUAAUUGCUAUAUUAUAAUCUGUGGAUGAUUGAAAUGGUCAAAAAAGAAAUUUCUAUGGAAGACCAGAUGAAGAAUCUAUAAUGUUUUCUCAAAAGAACUUUUUAAAUGACAAGAAUUGGAAUAGAAUUGAAGAGAAUAAAGAAAAUUUGGUGGCUCUUCUCAACUCUGCAUGUUUCUUUAUAAUCUUUGUGAACUUCAACCUCUUGUGACUUUGCAAUUUUUUUGCGUCUUACUGCUGCAUCAUCCCUCUUGUGGCAACCAGCAAGUUGAUUGUAUGCAGCUUAAUUUGACCCUGAUCUUUAGUCAAACCCACUUCUUUUUAACAGCUUUUGUACAAUCACUCAGAUGACUCUAUACAAGAGUUGCUUUAUUCAAGCAUUUUAAAAAUUGCUUCCAGCCACUAUCAGAUAAAAACCUUCAUAAUUGUGUUUGCACCGCCCCGGCUCUGCAUGAAAUCCUCCAUCUACUGUUGCAAGUGUCUGCUUUUCUUUGUGUUUGCUAUGUGUGUCAGAAAGGGGGCAGGUGGGGUGGGGUUAAUUUUGUUGAUAGGUCCAAGCAUGUCCUAAUCAUAUGAAACUAUAGGCAGCUUUUAAGCUUGGAGAAUACUUAUACCAAUAAUCGUACAAACUUGCAUAUUGAUUUUGAGGAUGAUUAGUAGGUUAUCGAUGUUCAAAAAAACUCUUAUCUGUAAUCUGCUACAGUUGUGGUAUUAAUUUUGUAAUGUUGAGUUAUGCAUCAUUAUUGUAUUUUUGGUUUCCUGGCUUGGUUGUUGCUAACCUACAUGAGCUAACUUUUUGGUUUGUUUGGGCUGACCAGAUAGAGAGAUGGAAUGAGCAAAGGGAGAAUGGAACAUUUCCAGGCCCCCUGUAGAAGGUUCUUGUUUGAAGAUCCUUGUGCUGUUGGUUUUCUGCUGUAUCCAUGUUUUUACCACCAGAAGAAUUUCUUUGACGAGAAGUAUGUUCUUAGGGAAUGCCCUAUUUGAUCAGUGAGUUAAUAAGAAAUUUUGGCUUGUCCAUUUGAGUUGCAGCUCAAGUCUGACUAGAGGGAAUGUUGCUGCACUUCAUCUUUAUGAUGAAGCUUCUUUCUCCAUCAUUUCCCCAUCAUUUUUAACUGUCCUAUAAUGGUUACUGUUAGCAUUACUUUCUACAUAAUAAAAGAUAUACUGCUUCUUGAUCCCGCCAAUUUAAAAGAAGGGGCAAAAAUUGUUGAUGAAUGUCUAUUUUCCAGCGCUAUUGGAUGAGGACUUAGAACUCAAUUUUAGUUAUUGGCAAGGUAUCAGCAUCUGGGAUUUGAUUAUCCAAAUAUUCCACUUAUUAUUUCAUAUAAAACAUGUUGAUUCUACUCUGCUACUGUUGCCUUCAAACUUGCUGUUUGUGAUCAUAGGCUAAAGGUUAUGGAUGAGUAUGCACAAGCAAUUAACUAAUGUUAUUUGUGUUUCAUUGUCAGGCUACUGGAUUAACGUAGAGUAAAACAAUUCUUAUGUCAUUAUUGAUAGAGUAUUUAUUUUAUCAUGGCCGAGUCCAGUUUGCUUGAACUUAUGUUAAAAAGCUGUGAUCCCUGUAAAUGAAAGGAGAUAGCCCAC